UUGGUGUAUUUUUUGGGGUUUUUUUGGGAUUUUUUGGGAUUUUUUUGUGAUUUUUUGGGGUUUUUUUGGGAUUUUUUUGGUGUAUUUUUGGGGGGUUUUUUUGGGGAUUUUUUUGUGUUUUUGGAGGUUUUUUUGGGGGGGGUUUUGGGGUUUUUGGGGUGUUCCAGGAGGGUGAGCCUGGCUGACAUCAGCCUGGUGUGCGCCCUGCUCUGCCUCUACAAACAGGUGCUGGACCCCGCGUUCCGGGGCCCCUUUGGGAACGUGAAUCGCUGGUUCCUGACGUGCCUGAACCAGCCCCAGUUCAAAGCCGUGCUGGGAGAGGUGACCCUGUGCCAGAGGAUGGCCCAGUUCGACGGUGAGUGACACCUGGGGACACCUGGGACACACCUGGGACACACCUGGGACACACCUGGGGACACCUGGGGACACCCAAAACACACCUGGGACACACUUGGGGACACCCAAAACACACCUGGGGACACCUGGGGACACCCAAAACACACCUGGGGACACCCAAAACACACCUGGGGACACCUGGGACACACCUGGGGACACCUGGGGACACACCCAGUUCACAGCUGUGCUGGGAGAGGUGACCCUGUGCCAGAGGAUGGCCCAGUUCGACGGUGAGUGACACCUGGGGACACCUGGGGACACCUGGGGACACCCAAAACACACCUGGGACACACCUGGGGACACCCAAAAUACACCUGGGGACACCUGGGGUCACCCAAAACACACCUGGGGACACCUGGGGACACACCUGGGGACACCUGGGACACACCUGGGGACACCUGGGGACACACCCAGUUCAAAGCCGUGCUGGGAGAGGUGACCCUGUGCCAGAGGAUGGCCCAGUUCGACGCCAAGAAAUUUGCGGAGAGCCAGGCCCGGAAGGAGAAGGAGCCCCCCAAGAAGGAGAAGGAGCCCCCCAAGAAGGAGAAGCCCCCCAAGAGGGAGGAGAAGCGGCCGGAGCCCGACGAGGACCUGGAUGAGUGCGAGCAGGUCCUGGCAGCUGAGCCCAAAGCCAAGGAUCCCUUCGCACACCUGCCCAAGAGGUGGGGACACGCCUGGGGACACCUGGGGACAGCUGGGGACACCUGGGGAUACACCUGGGGGGGUCUGGGGACACCUGGGGACAGCUGGGGACACACCUGGGGACACACCUGGACACACCUGGACACAGCUGGGGACACCUGGGGA
RNAcentral lists this long non-coding RNA (1203 nucleotides) under Cyanistes caeruleus (blue tit). Its description in RNAcentral is "lncRNA (ENSCCEG00000002121.1)". Lineage: Eukaryota; Metazoa; Chordata; Aves; Passeriformes; Paridae. The record is from RNAcentral.